This 64-nucleotide non-coding RNA is filed under the name unclassified sequences. The record is from Rfam.
CUAACGAUACUUCUGUAACUCGCAGCCUGGCCACAAAGAAGGCGGGGAGGUUCGAUUCCUAUGG